GUCCCCGUAGCUCAGCCGGAUAGAGCAACAGUUUCCUAAACUGUGGGUCGGGUGUUCGAGUCACCCCGGGGACGCCA
RNAcentral lists this transfer RNA (77 nucleotides) under Alphaproteobacteria bacterium. Its description in RNAcentral is "tRNA-Arg". It matches the Rfam family "tRNA". Rfam says of the family: Transfer RNA (tRNA) molecules are approximately 80 nucleotides in length. Their secondary structure includes four short double-helical elements and three loops (D, anti-codon, and T loops). Lineage: Bacteria; Pseudomonadati; Pseudomonadota; Alphaproteobacteria. RNAcentral also lists the same sequence under 6 other names. The record is from RNAcentral.